AUUCUAAACGACUGGGACUUGCCGGAAGUCAUUCUGCACUAAUAGCGGCAAAAAGCCUUCUGGUUCCUGGGGCGACGCGCCCGGCGGCCGUACUAUUCACUUCCCCAGAACGCCACAGCCCAGGCUUUCUUCUUAGUGGGCUUCCCAGACCAAGAAGGGAAACCUUUCAUCCGAAGGUACUGAGGGGAGGAAGGUGGCCUGAAGUUAUCUCAGUGCCGCUUUGUUUCCCACCCCAGUCGGUCAGCCCUUCCUCAGCGCCCUUUAACCCUUGCAGAUCGGAUGGAGAAAGCUGCCAGCACGUUCUAGGGAUGGGGGCAGAUUGAGGAGCGGGAGGGAGUAGUCUUUGUCUAACUUUAUACCAGUACCAAACUAUGUUAAUUUAAUGUAGUUUUAUAAUAAAUCUUUAAGUCCUGUAACUUAUUCUCCCAAGAUUGUUUUGGCUUAUUCUACGGCCUUUGUAUUUCUAGGUGAAUUUUGGAAUUAGCUUGUUAAAAAGGGGGGGGAUUUUUUAUUGGGCUCGCAUUGAAUCUAUAGAUCUGUUUGGGAAAACUAGUAUCUUAACAACAAGUCCUUCAAUCCAUGAAUAUCAUUCUUCCCCCACCAUUUAUUUAAGCGGUCUUUAAUUUCUCCUGGCAAUAUUUUGUAGAUUGCACAUAUAUCUAUAUUUUAAUGCAGCUGUGCUUGGAUAGAUUGCAGUAUAGAGAUCAUAUAUAUCUUUCAUUAGAUUUAUUCUUGAGUAUUUAGUGUUUUGUAUACAAUGUUAAAUGGCAUUUUGACUUUUUUAUAUUCUACUCGUAAGAAUAAACAAUAUUGAUUUUAACAUACUGACCUUAUAUGCAAGCAUCUUGCUAAGUUCCCUUGUUAUUUGUAAUACUCUGUAGAUUCUUUCGGAAUUUCUGUGAUCAAAAUCUUGCAAUCCACGAAUAAAGAUGGUUUAACUUCUCUGUAACCUUUAUACCUUUUAUUUUUAUUUAUUUUUGCCUUUUGUUGCUGGCUAGUGUUUCCACUAUUGAAUAAAAACAGUGAUAAUGGA
This is a long non-coding RNA of Homo sapiens (human), 1033 nucleotides long. Ensembl annotates it as SUGT1 divergent transcript. Its record names the gene SUGT1-DT. The record is from Ensembl. NCBI's taxonomy places the organism in Eukaryota, Metazoa, Chordata, Mammalia, Primates, Hominidae.